This is a non-coding RNA of Microtus oregoni (creeping vole), 72 nucleotides long. Lineage: Eukaryota; Metazoa; Chordata; Mammalia; Rodentia; Cricetidae. The record is from the annotation of a RefSeq genome assembly.
UGGGGUGUAGCUCAGUUGGUAGAGUGCUUGCCUAGCGUGCAAGAGACCUGGGUUCAACUCCCAGCGCUGCAU